AUUGAACGCUGGCGGCAGGCCUAACACAUGCAAGUCGAGCGGAUGAAGGGAGCUUGCUCCUGGAUUCAGCGGCGGACGGGUGAGUAAUGCCUAGGAAUCUGCCUGGUAGUGGGGGAUAACGUCCGGAAACGGGCGCUAAUACCGCAUACGUCCUGAGGGAGAAAGUGGGGGAUCUUCGGACCUCACGCUAUCAGAUGAGCCUAGGUCGGAUUAGCUAGUUGGUGGGGUAAAGGCCUACCAAGGCGACGAUCCGUAACUGGUCUGAGAGGAUGAUCAGUCACACUGGAACUGAGACACGGUCCAGACUCCUACGGGAGGCAGCAGUGGGGAAUAUUGGACAAUGGGCGAAAGCCUGAUCCAGCCAUGCCGCGUGUGUGAAGAAGGCCUUCGGACUGUAAAGCACUUUAAGUUGGGAGGAAGGGCAGUAAGUUAAUACCUUGCUGUUUUGACGUUACCAACAGAAUAAGCACCGGCUAACUUCGUG
This 484-nucleotide ribosomal RNA is filed under the name uncultured bacterium. Its description in RNAcentral is "partial 16S ribosomal RNA". It matches the Rfam family "Bacterial small subunit ribosomal RNA", at positions 30 to 507 of the family's 1533-position model. The record is from RNAcentral.